RNAcentral lists this ribosomal RNA (474 nucleotides) under uncultured Desulfobulbus sp. Its description in RNAcentral is "bacterial SSU rRNA". It matches the Rfam family "Bacterial small subunit ribosomal RNA", at positions 913 to 1382 of the family's 1533-position model. Lineage: Bacteria; Pseudomonadati; Thermodesulfobacteriota; Desulfobulbia; Desulfobulbales; Desulfobulbaceae. The record is from RNAcentral.
ACGGGGGCCCGGCACAAGCGGUGGAGUAUGUGGUUAAUUCGAUGCAACGCGAAGAACUUACCUGGUCUUGACAUCCCGGAGACCCUUAGGAAACUAGGGGGUGCUCCAUCUGGAAGAAUCUGGAGACAGGUGCUGCAUGGCUGUCGUCAGCUCGUGUCGUGAGAUGUUGGGUUAAGUCCCGCAACGAGCGCAACCCUUGCCUUUAGUUGCCAGCAGUUCGGCUGGGCACUCUAAAGGGACUGCCGGUGUUAAACCGGAGGAAGGUGGGGGAUGACGUCAAGUCCUCAUGGCCUUUAUGACCAGGGCUACACACGUACUACAAUGGCCGGUACAAAGGGCAGCGACACUGCGAGGUGAAGCCAAUCCCGUAAAAUCGGUCUCAGUCCGGAUUGGAGUCUGCAACUCGACUCCAUGAAGUUGGAAUCGCUAGUAAUCGUGGAUCAGCAUGCCACGGUGAAUACGUUCCCGGGCCUU